AAAAUCCAGCCUACGUAAAGAAUAGCCAACAGCGUAGAACCUAACUUGAUACAGCAUGAGGUAACAAGGGUUGUAAAGCUCAAGUGGGGGACAAAGCAGACCGCAACGAAAGUGAAUGGAUUGAGCUCCGUAAAGGACGAAAUUAUAGAGGCCGACAUCUUUGGCGGUAUGGAAGGCACAACUGUCGAAAGUUAAAAAUUC
Ixodes scapularis (black-legged tick) is the source of this 201-nucleotide non-coding RNA. The record is from Rfam. Lineage: Eukaryota; Metazoa; Arthropoda; Arachnida; Ixodida; Ixodidae.